AAGAAAGGCUCCUUCACAUGGCAAAGUAUUGUGGCCGGCCUGGGUACUUUUCGAAGAGGACACAUUUGGAGAGUUGGCACUGGUGAACAGAUAGAUAUUUGGGAGGACCACUGGAUACCAGGAAGUCCAUCUAGAAUGGUGCAGACACCUAAAGGCCAAAUUCUGCUACAAACAGUAAGUGAUUUAAUUGUUCAUGUCACUGGAAGUUGGGAUGAGGUGCUUAUCAGGGAUGUUUUAAACCCGAUUGGCGUGGAAAGAAUCAUGUGGAUACCCUUAGGCGAACAUCUGAAUGAAAAUUUUGUGGCCUGGCAUUUUAUGAAAUCAUAUAUGUUCAAGGUAAAUUCAGUGUACUAUAUUGAAUGGGAUCAUGCUCAUAGGCACCGACUGACUAGAGCUAAUGGACCGGGGACAAUUUCACGCAAUCUUGUGUGGGACAUCUUAUGGAAGGUGAAAGUGCCAAGCAAAGUAAAAAUCUUUGGAUGGAAAGCCUUGCAUGGCCUAAUCCCGGGCCUAGCAGUGUUGGCAAAUAGACACACUCCUACUCUGGGUCAAUGUCCGGUUUGCUCUUCAGGUCUUGAAGAUAUUAAGCAUCUGAUGUUCACUUGCAGCCGGGCAGAAGAUGUUUGGAAAUCACCGGGUCUUCAAGACAUUAUUAUGAAGGCUACAUAUGUUUACAGAUCUGGAUCCAUAGUUCUUGAAGAGCCGCUUCAUCGACAGAAUAAUAAAUCGUUGGUAGUUGGGCAAGUUGGGUUGACGGAGAUGAUUAUUGUGGGAGUUUGGUAUAUUUGGUGGCAACGUAGAGAGUUUGUGAAAGGGGUAGGUCUGCUUUUGCUAUUCAAGCUAUAG
Molecule: ribosomal RNA, 846 nt
Filed under: Triticum aestivum (bread wheat)
Lineage: Eukaryota; Viridiplantae; Streptophyta; Magnoliopsida; Poales; Poaceae
Description: partial small subunit ribosomal RNA
Source: RNAcentral